GAUGUACAUCCUUUACGAUGGACAGGAAUACUGUGAUUCAUCCCCCGCAAAAGACAGAGAUUAAUCACAGCUUCUGACAGGCUUGUGGUGCUGAUGCUUGACAGGGGUGGCAGCAGGGACUGGCUGUUUUAUGUGUGAACACUCAACGUGAGGCGUGGGUUUCAUAUCACUGAUGAAAUCAGCUGCCUUUGUCGCUUCCUGGUCUGACUGUGCCCUGCUGAGCGUCUCGUGAUCGUCAGGGAGUAGAAGCUGGCUGACAGAGCAGUCCAGGGUGGGCUUAACGACACAGUUCUAGGACCAUCGGAUUGGAUUUCCUUGUAGCAAAACCCCAGGUAGACAGAAGACUACA
Camelus dromedarius (Arabian camel) is the source of this 349-nucleotide long non-coding RNA. RefSeq lists it as uncharacterized. NCBI's taxonomy places the organism in Eukaryota, Metazoa, Chordata, Mammalia, Artiodactyla, Camelidae. The transcript is spliced from 3 exons. The record is from RefSeq and is a predicted model, not a curated record.